This 245-nucleotide ribosomal RNA is filed under the name uncultured bacterium. RNAcentral describes it as "partial small subunit ribosomal RNA". It matches the Rfam family "Bacterial small subunit ribosomal RNA", at positions 26 to 285 of the family's 1533-position model. The record is from RNAcentral.
AGAAUGAACGCUGGCGGCGUGCCUAACACAUGCAAGUCGCACGAGAAAGGGACUUCGGUCCUGAGUAAAGUGGCGCACGGGUGAGUAACACGUGAAUAAUCUACCUCCGAGUGGGGAAUAACUGAGAGAAAUCUUAGCUAAUACCGCAUAAUACCCACGGGUCAAAGCAGCAAUGCGCUUGGAGAGGAGUUCGCGGCCGAUUAGCUAGUUGGCGGGGUAAUGGCCCACCAAGGCGAUGAUCGGUA